This 253-nucleotide ribosomal RNA is filed under the name uncultured bacterium. Its description in RNAcentral is "partial 16S ribosomal RNA". It matches the Rfam family "Bacterial small subunit ribosomal RNA", at positions 524 to 776 of the family's 1533-position model. The record is from RNAcentral.
UACGAAGGGGGCUAGCGUUGCUCGGAAUUACUGGGCGUAAAGGGCGCGUAGGCGGACAGUUUAGUCAGAGGUGAAAGCCCAGGGCUCAACCUUGGAAUUGCCUUUGAUACUGGCUGUCUUGAGUGCGGGAGAGGUGUGUGGAACUCCGAGUGUAGAGGUGAAAUUCGUAGAUAUUCGGAAGAACACCAGUGGCGAAGGCGACACACUGGCCCGUAACUGACGCUGUGGCGCGAAAGCGUGGGGAGCAAACAGG